This 77-nucleotide transfer RNA is filed under the name Desulfobacterales bacterium CG2_30_60_27. RNAcentral describes it as "tRNA-Arg". It matches the Rfam family "tRNA". From Rfam's summary of the family: Transfer RNA (tRNA) molecules are approximately 80 nucleotides in length. Their secondary structure includes four short double-helical elements and three loops (D, anti-codon, and T loops). Further hydrogen bonds mediate the characteristic L-shaped molecular structure. tRNAs have two regions of fundamental functional importance: the anti-codon, which is responsible for specific mRNA codon recognition, and the 3' end, to which the tRNAs corresponding amino acid is attached (by aminoacyl-tRNA synthetases). tRNAs cope with the degeneracy of the genetic code in two manners: having more than one tRNA (with a specific anti-codon) for a particular amino acid; and 'wobble' base-pairing, i.e. permitting non-standard base-pairing at the 3rd anti-codon position. Lineage: Bacteria; Pseudomonadati; Thermodesulfobacteriota; Desulfobacteria; Desulfobacterales. RNAcentral also lists the same sequence under 3 other names. The record is from RNAcentral.
GGGCGGGUAGCUCAGCUGGAUAGAGUAUUGGCCUCCGAAGCCAAGGGUCGUGGGUCCGAAUCCCAUCCCGCCCACCA